CAGCAUCACUGCUACCAUAUCUCUCUGCAGGGCUUCUGAAAAGAAUUAAAAAUAGCUUCCUGCUUUACCAGGAAACUUCCUGUUAUUUAUAUAGUCCUCUCUGUCCCCUAAGGCAGCAAUUGAUGGAACAAAUCUUUCCAACUUACCAAGAGCCCUGGUGCCUGUCAUCAAUAGUCAAGGAGAGCGCUGGGGGGCUCUUUUGUUUGAUCCUGAUUCUACAGUGGAAAAUCCUACUGGCUUCAGUGUUUUGGCCUUUAAAAAUUAUUGAAUUUCCCCCUAG
Catharus ustulatus (Swainson's thrush) is the source of this 280-nucleotide long non-coding RNA. RefSeq lists it as uncharacterized. Lineage: Eukaryota; Metazoa; Chordata; Aves; Passeriformes; Turdidae. The record is from RefSeq and is a predicted model, not a curated record. The transcript has 3 exons.